UUAUUUUUCUUUAUAAGCAUCCAGUUAAAUAUUCAAAUUUGAAUGGGAACGAUACAGCGAAGAUUAGCAUGGCCCCUGGGCAAGGAUGACAUGCAAAUUCAUGAAGAGUUCCAUAUUUUA
Chlorocebus sabaeus (green monkey) is the source of this 120-nucleotide non-coding RNA. The record is from Rfam. Lineage: Eukaryota; Metazoa; Chordata; Mammalia; Primates; Cercopithecidae.